UUAAAUGAAUUGACGGGGCCCGCACAAGCGGUGGAGUAUGUGGUUUAAUUCGACGCAACGCGCAGAACCUUACCUACCCUUGACAUGUCCGGAACUUGCCAGAGAUGGCUUGGUGCCCGAAAGGGAAUCGGAACACAGGUGCUGCAUGGCUGUCGUCAGCUCGUGUCGUGAGAUGUUGGGUUAAGUCCCGCAACGAGCGCAACCCUUAUCAUUAGUUGCUACGCAAGGGCACUCUAAUGAGACUGCCGGUGACAAACCGGAGGAAGGUGGGGAUGACGUCAAGUCCUCAUGGCCCUUAUGGGUAGGGCUUCACACGUCAUACAAUGGUCGGUACAGAGGGUUGCCAACCCGCGAGGGGGAGCUAAUCCCACAAAGCCGAUCGUAGUCCGGAUCGCAGUCUGCAACUCGACUGCGUGAAGUCGGAAUCGCUAGUAAUCGUGGAUCAGCAUGUCACGGUGAAUACGUUCCCGGGUCUU
RNAcentral lists this ribosomal RNA (476 nucleotides) under uncultured Curvibacter sp. RNAcentral's name for it is "bacterial SSU rRNA". It matches the Rfam family "Bacterial small subunit ribosomal RNA", at positions 901 to 1382 of the family's 1533-position model. Lineage: Bacteria; Pseudomonadati; Pseudomonadota; Betaproteobacteria; Burkholderiales; Comamonadaceae. The record is from RNAcentral.